AGGAGGCCGAGCCCCCUUUGCAUGCCUUGCAAAGAUCGUCCAUCCUUCAAGCUACAACAAAUGAGGUACCUUGGCCUUACUUGACAAAGUUUGCUUCCUUUGAUAAUAUUUUGGUUUCUUCUCAACCCAUGGAGCAACACAAGAAACAUGUGGAGGUUGUGUUGACCAUUUUGGAUGAACACCACUUCCACAUCAAACUUGCAAUACACACCCUCACCCACCCGGAGUUGAAGUG
RNAcentral lists this long non-coding RNA (235 nucleotides) under Phoenix dactylifera (date palm). RNAcentral's name for it is "long non-coding RNA (PDAC_LNC008230)". The record is from RNAcentral. Lineage: Eukaryota; Viridiplantae; Streptophyta; Magnoliopsida; Arecales; Arecaceae.